AUUUGUUUUCUAUUGUGUUAUUGACUGCACGUUUGUUUAUGUGUAACUCUGUGUUGUUUGUUUUUGUCGCACUGCUUUGCUUUAUCUUGGCCAGGUCGCAGUUGUAAAUGAGAACUUGUUUUCAACUGGCCAACCUGGUUAAAUAAAGGUGAAAAAAACUCCCCAUCCCUACCGCUCUCCCAGCUCCCACCCCUCAUGUCAUCUAGGGGGGAAAAUCAAUGUAGAUAAUUGUGCUCCGUUAUUGCUGCCUAAAAGGCUUUAGAUGCAGCUAAUGCUGAGUGCUAAGCUAAUCAGAUUGUUCCGCAGCGUAAUGGGUUUACUGAGGAUAGCUGGGGUUGGUUGGGGGACAACACACUUACAUUAUGCUAUCCCACAAUAGGCUAUCACACAGUAGGCUAUCACACAGUAGGUUAUCACACAAUAGGCUAUCACACAGUAGGCUAUCCCACAGUAGGCUAUCACACAGUAGGUUAUCACACAGUAGGCUAUCACACAGUAGGCUAUCACACAGUAGGCUAUCCCAGUAGGCUAUCCCAC
Molecule: long non-coding RNA, 537 nt
Filed under: Salmo salar (Atlantic salmon)
Lineage: Eukaryota; Metazoa; Chordata; Actinopteri; Salmoniformes; Salmonidae
Description: lncRNA (ENSSSAG00000086556.1)
Source: RNAcentral